GCAGUGGUGGUUCAGUGGUAGAAUUCUCCCCUUUGCUGUGGGAGACCUGGGUUUAAUUCCCAACCAAAGUA
RNAcentral lists this transfer RNA (71 nucleotides) under Loxodonta africana (African savanna elephant). It matches the Rfam family "tRNA". Rfam says of the family: Transfer RNA (tRNA) molecules are approximately 80 nucleotides in length. Lineage: Eukaryota; Metazoa; Chordata; Mammalia; Proboscidea; Elephantidae. The record is from Rfam by way of RNAcentral.